AGUGAACGCUGGCGGUAGGCCUAACACAUGCAAGUCGAACGGCAGCACAGUAAGAGCUCGCCCUUACGGGUGGCGAGGGGCGGACGGGUGACGAAUACAUCGGAAACCACUUUUACUGGGGGGACAACGGAGGGCCAGAUAUGAUAAUACCGCAUAUAUCCAACGGGUGAAAGCAGGGGUUCAUCGGAGCUUUCCCGUCACAUAUAGCCGAUGUCGGAUUAGCUAGUUGGGGUGGUAACGGCCCACCAAGGCGACGAUGCGUAGCUGGUCUGAGAGGAUGAUCGGCCACACUGGAACUGAGACACGGUCCAGACUCCUACGGGAGGCAGCAGUGGGGAAUAUUGCACAAUGGGCGAAAGCCUGAUGCAGCCACACCGCGUGAGUGAAGAAGGCCUUCGGGUUGUAAAACCCUGUUGUUGGGGAAGAAAAGCAGCAGGUUAAUCCCCCGCUGUUCUGACGGUACCCAAAGAAUAAGCACCGGCUAACUUCGUG
Molecule: ribosomal RNA, 492 nt
Filed under: uncultured bacterium
Lineage: Bacteria
Description: partial 16S ribosomal RNA
Rfam family: Bacterial small subunit ribosomal RNA
Source: RNAcentral